CUCCCUUGCUCCUGUCUCAGGAAGGUUUCUUUUCUCACUGUGGAUGUUUCCACUGAAGCAAACUCCUCAGUGUUUGCGCCUUGAUGGUUUGAGGUCAGUUGUGGGAAGCAGCAAAUGUUCCAGGCCUAAAAGAUACAAGGUAACAAACAACAAGAACCUCAGACAGGGAGAGCGAGGAGGUUAAUGACGCAUUCUCAGCGCCUCCUAGGAAUCUGCCUUGCGGACCCGGCUGGAGGGUUGGGGGUGACCAGCCCUCCUGUUUUGCCCUGAGUGAGAGGUUUCCAGGGACACCAGACUUUCAGUCCUGAAGCUGGGAAAGUCCUGGGCAAACCAGCAUGAGUUUAUUAUAGAAUAGUUUUGGAUUUAAAGAAAAAUUGCAACGAUAGAACAGAGAGUUCCCAUAUACCCCGGACCCAGUUUUCCCACUCUUAAUUUAUGAGUAUGGAACAUUGUUCACAAUGAACGGACCAAUAUUGGCACAUUAUUAUUAACUAAAGUCCACACUUGAUUCAGAUUUCCCUUGUUUUUAUCUCGUGUCCUUUUUCUUUUUUUUUUUAAGAUUUUAUUUUUUCCUUUUUCUCCCCAAAGCCCCCCAGUACAUAGUUGUAUAUUCUUCGUUGUGAGUCCUUCUAGUUGUGGCAUGUGGGACGCUGCCUCAGCGUGGUUUGAUGAGCAGUGCCAUGUCCGCGCCCAGGAUUCGAACCAACGAAACACUGGGCCGCCUGCAGCGGAGCGCGUGAACUUAACCACUCGGCCACGGGGCCAGCCCCUCGUGUCCUUUUUCUGUUCCAGGAUUCCACCCAGGACACCACAUUACGGUGAGUUGUGGUGCCGUCCAGCCUCCUCUUGGCCAUGACAGUCUCGCAGACGUUUCUUAUCUUCGGUGACGGUUUGAGUCGCACAGCUCAGGUGGCGUUUGUCCGGUGUCCCUGCCAUCUCCUCCCUCUGUGUUGGGCUCUGUGGAGGACGUCUCUCCACGCAGCCUGCACCUGGGGGCCUGGAGCUGUGCUCCCCGUCCUUCAUCGGGGAGGAGUUACACACACCUCGAGGCUUUGGGACCUGAGCGUAUGGUCACAGGAGAAAAUCGAUUUGGGAGAAUGCCAUGCAGCACCGUCACACGACAAAGGACUGCUUGUGUUGACUGAUGUUUAGGCAUCUCUGAUGUUCAAACGUCAUUUCGUGUCUCUCUCACCAGCCCUGUCCGGCCAUCCCUGGUGGACUUGGGGUGCAAGAACCCCAGUGUUCUCUCUGCUGCCCAAGACGUUUUUAUUCAGAUGAAUUCUGGAUAAAAUGGAAAAGAUCAACGAAGAGGAGGGCUGGGGGAGGGUGGGAUUAGCUGACCCCGCAGCCCAUUGAGGAGGUGGGUGAGGGGCCGUGAUGUGGAGGAUGUCUCUCCUGCCGCCAGAUCCCAGAGCUCCGGGCACCUGGGAGAUCAGGUGCCAAUCCCGCUCUUCCCACUUGCCCUGGGUAGCGCCCCUCUAGAUUCUAGUGCCCAGGGCACAUGCUGCUACUCAGUCUUUUCCAGCAAGCCUGAUGGGCCUCCGAACGCCUCCCGGCCCAGCGCUUCGGGCAGGCACCAUGAGCUCCGCCUCCCUUCCAGGCGUGGCAAUGCCUCGCUGUCAAGAACAAGUUUCUGUUGAGCUUGACAUUCCUCUCUCCUGCUUCUGUGGUUGUGGUCACUGUUUGCAAUUUAGAUGUCUCUGGAAGAUUUUCAAGAGUCUUCUUAAAAUGUGGUUGAGGUGUUAUUGCACAGUGGCCGACCAUGGGCUGGGUUCAGGCACUGAUUUGUUUCUGGCUGAAAUGGUGCUCUGGGUAACGGUUACAGGGUAUUUUGCUAGAGAUUUAGUCCAACUCCUCCGUUUUCCUCAUGAGCGUAGUGUCUGUCCAGAGCCAAGCUCCACCCUACUAACUGGAGUUUGCUGGGGUGAGUGUCACUGCACCAGCAUUCAGAAUUGCAAACGAUGGCGGGAGAUACCAGUGUUUUCCUCAUCAAAUGGCAAAAAUUAAAUAAGCUAGUGACCUACAGCACUGAUGGGGAGUGAAAAACAGGCCUCCUCAUAUAUUGUAGCUAAGAAUGUAAAUUAUUACCAUCUUUGGGAAAAUAG
Molecule: long non-coding RNA, 2105 nt
Filed under: Equus caballus (horse)
Lineage: Eukaryota; Metazoa; Chordata; Mammalia; Perissodactyla; Equidae
Description: lncRNA (ENSECAG00000059410.1)
Source: RNAcentral